RNAcentral lists this non-coding RNA (275 nucleotides) under Mesocricetus auratus (golden hamster). Its description in RNAcentral is "Eukaryotic small subunit ribosomal RNA". It matches the Rfam family "Eukaryotic small subunit ribosomal RNA", at positions 1194 to 1410 of the family's 1831-position model. The record is from Rfam by way of RNAcentral. Lineage: Eukaryota; Metazoa; Chordata; Mammalia; Rodentia; Cricetidae.
UUUGACUCAACACGGGAAACCUCACCCAGCCCGGACACGGACAGGAUUGACAGAUUGAUAGCUCUUUCUCGAUUCCAUGGGUGGUGGUGCAUGGCCGUUCUUAGUUGGUGGAGCGAUUUGUCUGGUUAAUUCCGUGCUUGCUUCGAUGUAGUGAUUCACAUUUUUGCAUGUGCAUUAUGUACGUGCUGUGCUCUGCAUCGAUUUCCGAUCCCUAGCAACCCACCCCCAUUCAUCUGCAGGAGUGAGCUUUGCAACACUGAUCUAGAUACGGUGCC